GACGAACGCUGGCGGCGUGCUUAACACAUGCAAGUCGAACGGAAAGGCCCUGCUUUUGUGGGUUGCUCGAGUGGCGAACGGGUGAGUAACACGUGAGUAACCUGCCCUUGACUUUGGGGUAACUUCAGGAAACUGGGGCGAAUACCGGAUAGGAGCUCCUGCUGCAUGGGGGGGGUUGGAAAGUUUCGGCGGUUGGGUAUGGACUCGCGGCUUAUCAGCUUGUUGGUGUGGUAGUGGCUUACCAAGGCUUUGACGGGUAGCCGGCCUGGGAGUGUGACCGGCCACAUUGUGCCUGAGAUACGGCCCAGACUCCUACGGGCGGCAACAGUGGGGACUAUUGCACAAUGGGCCGAAGCCUGAUGCAGCAACGCCGCGUGCGGGAUGACGGCCUUCGGGUUGUAACAAGCUUUCGCCUGUGACGACGCGUGAGUGACGGUACUGGGCAAAGAAGCACCGGCUAACUACGU
This 467-nucleotide ribosomal RNA is filed under the name uncultured bacterium. RNAcentral's name for it is "partial 16S ribosomal RNA". It matches the Rfam family "Bacterial small subunit ribosomal RNA", at positions 28 to 506 of the family's 1533-position model. The record is from RNAcentral.